AUAUAUUUUAAAAAAAAGAAGAAGAAGAUUACCAUGGCCCCUGCACAAGGAUGACACACAAAAUUCAUGAAGCGUUCCAUAAAAAA
This 86-nucleotide small nuclear RNA is filed under the name Myotis davidii. The record is from RNAcentral. Lineage: Eukaryota; Metazoa; Chordata; Mammalia; Chiroptera; Vespertilionidae.